This is a microRNA precursor of Microtus ochrogaster (prairie vole), 128 nucleotides long. The record is from Ensembl. Lineage: Eukaryota; Metazoa; Chordata; Mammalia; Rodentia; Cricetidae.
GGCUUCUCUGUGUAUCCCUGGCUGUCCUAGAACUCACUUUGUAGACCAGACUGGCCUUGAACUCACAGAGAUCCACCUGCCUCUGCCUCCUGAGUGCUGGGAUUAAAAGCAUGCGCCACCACUGCCCG